Long non-coding RNA from Sander lucioperca (pikeperch), 117 nucleotides. RefSeq lists it as uncharacterized. NCBI's taxonomy places the organism in Eukaryota, Metazoa, Chordata, Actinopteri, Perciformes, Percidae. The transcript has 3 exons. The record is from RefSeq and is a predicted model, not a curated record.
UUAUCCAUAUUAACCUGCAAUAUUAACCCCUCUCACGCAGUUUACUCAUGUGCCCUCUCAAAAACUCUUCCUCUGCGUGCAGUCAGACGCUGCUGUGCUGCAUUCAUGCAUACAUGU